AAACAUGUCUUUUUGAAUUAAAUUUAAAGUCUGACCUGCCCACUGAAUAAUUUUAAAUGGCCGCAGUAUUUUGACUGUGCAAAGGUAGCAUAAUCAUUAGUCUUUUAAUUGGAGGCUGGUAUGAACGGUUGGACGAAGUAUAAGCUGUUUCAUAUAAAUUUAUAAUAGAAUUUUAUAUUUUAGUUAAAAAGCUAAAAUUUUAUUAAAAGACGAGAAGACCCUAUAAAUCUUUAUAUUUAAUAUAAACUAAAUUUUUUUGAUUUAUUUUAUUUCUUUUAUAUUAAUUAUUUUGUUGGGGUGAUAUUAAAAUUUAAUGAACUUUUAAUUUUUUAAAAUCAUUAAUUUAUGAAUUAUUGAUCCAUUAAUAUUGAUUAUAAGAUUAAGUUACUUUAGGGAUAACAGCGUAAUUUUUUUUGAGAGUUCAUAUCGACAAAAAAGUUUGCGACCUCGAUGUUGGAUUAAGGUAUAAUUUUGGGUGUAGCCGUUCAAAAAUUAAGUCUGUUCGACUUUUAAAUCCUUACAUGAUC
RNAcentral lists this ribosomal RNA (527 nucleotides) under Anastrepha bahiensis. RNAcentral describes it as "partial small subunit ribosomal RNA". The stretch from base 395 to 527 matches the Rfam family "Bacterial large subunit ribosomal RNA", at positions 2473 to 2605 of the family's 2925-position model. The record is from RNAcentral. Lineage: Eukaryota; Metazoa; Arthropoda; Insecta; Diptera; Tephritidae.